Arachis stenosperma is the source of this 1682-nucleotide long non-coding RNA. RefSeq lists it as uncharacterized. NCBI's taxonomy places the organism in Eukaryota, Viridiplantae, Streptophyta, Magnoliopsida, Fabales, Fabaceae. The record is from RefSeq and is a predicted model, not a curated record. The transcript is spliced from 7 exons.
GUUCUGAAGCUCCUUCGUUUCUUUCUCCCUUUCUCCCUCCGUUUCUUUCAUUCACAGAAACUCAGCCAAAAAACCCUAACACUGUAAGCCUACACCACCGCCGCCGCAAGGAGUGGCAUACUGCUGCCGCCCGUCCGUCUAUCUAGCUUCCCUCGUGCUCCAAGUCUUCAACCCCCGUUCGCUGUCACCGAUCGCAGCUGCUUCCUCGAGCUCGGCGUCCGUCGUCUUUGUCUGCUUAGCCGCGCUUCCGCUGCCGUUGGUUGCCGUUAACGUUCGCGUCUUCGUUCAGCCGUCAUCUUCGUUCGCGUUCUUCGCCGUUCAAGUUUGCUCGGCGUUCACCGUUCGCGUUCACUCGCCGUUCACCGUUCGCGUUCACGUUCGUCUGGAAGCCACGUUGCCCUGCUUCAAACUCUGCGACCAACCCGUGUGCUCCACCUAGCCGUCGAACUGCUCUCUUUUGUCGCCGCCACAGUAUGGAACCAGAGAAAGUAAAGAAGUUGCUGUAGAAGGGAGAGUUCAGUUUGAUCUGCUCCUCCAGGUCAGCUUCACCGGUUCGAUGGAGGUAGGCCGUGAAAUAAUGGAUGCUGCAGCUAGCAGCAACUUGAAACAAGUUUCACUUGAAUUAGUAGGAAAGUCACCUCUUCUAAUCUUUGAUGAUGCUGAUGUAGAUAAAGCUGCUAGCCUUGCUCUCUUGGGCAUAGUAUAUAACAAGGGUGAGAUAUGUGUUGAAAGUUCAGUGUGUUUUUUCAAGAAGGGAAUGUGCUGAAUAAUUAUAUUAAAAGAUGGAUUUAGGCAUUCUUUUCUUCCUCUUUCACACCCUGCAGGUUUUGACAGCUACUAAAAUUAGAUAUUGGAGGUUUUGUUCAAUUAGAUGCUAGGUUUUGACAAGUCCCCAUGAGAUGUAAUGGCAAAAGAGAAUUGAUAGGCACAAAGUUUCUUCUUGUUAUCAUGCUAUAUAAAAAACAUGUCUCAGUUGUGGUGGUUUGGUUUGGUUUUUGUUGUUUUCCAUUGCAGGAAUGCUAUUGAUUCCUCUUUAUUCAAGCAAUGAUUGCAUAACUUGCAAAGUGAGAUUGGGAUUCUAGCUGAUGGCACCUUGGCUCUGAGACAAGUUCUAAUUCAGGUUCCAGGUAUUGUAUUUGCAAGAGGACCUGCUGUGACUGUGUUGAUACUUCUGGAAUCAGAUGGUGAAACUUAUGCUGUCCUUACUGAACAGGCAAGGGUUCCUACUGGAAGAAUUAUUUUGGAAUUGCCUGCUGGAAUGUUGGAUGAUGACAAGGGUGAUUUCGUUGGCACUGCAGUUCUUGAGGCUUCUCUCUCUCCAAUUCUCUUCAUGGCUUAGUUGUGCCUCUGACAGGUUGAAGAGGAGACUGGCAUAAAGUUCAAACUUGAAGACAUGGUUGAUCUCACUGCUUUCUUGGAUUCUUCAACAGGAUGCAGAUUUUUUCCCUCACCGGCUAGUAUUGGAAUGGAUAACUUGAACGCUUAAUGCACAAAGUGGAGCAGUUUUAGGUUGAUUUUGAUCUUUUACUAAGUAUUUAGGUUGAUGAUCAUCUCUAUUAGUGUAAUUUGAUAUAUCAUGAGCAGUUCUAACUUGUAUUGUUUCUGUAUUUUUCUUCGGUUUUUAGUUUUGAAAUUUGAACUCGAGAUUUAUUUUGUAUUUGAGUAAUAAUUUUUUAAUGUAU